AUUGAACGCUGGCGGCAUGCCUUACACAUGCAAGUCGAACGGCUGCACGGGUCUUGCUCCUUGAUUCCGCGUCGCGCACGUGUGAGAUGCACAUGGAUCUAUGUCCUGUUGUGGGGGAUAGUCCGGCGAAAGCCGCUUAUAUCCCAUAUGUGCUCUACGGAUGAGAGGGGGGGCUUCUCACCUCUCGCUCUCUAGUGAUGGUCGAUGGCGGAUUAGCUAGUUGGUGGGGUAAAGGCCUACCAAGGCGACGAUCAGUAUCUGGUCUGAGAGGACGACCAGCCACACUGGAACUGAGACACGGCCCAGACUCCUACGGGAGGCAGCAGUGGGGAAUAUUGGACAAUGGGCGAAAGCCUGAUCCAGCAAUGCCGCGUGUGUGAAGAAGGUCUUCGGAUUGUAAAGCACUUUUGGUCGGGAAGAAGGGCAGGAAGCUAAUACGGUGCGGGGAUGACGGUACCAGAAGAAUAAGCACCGGCUAACUACGUG
RNAcentral lists this ribosomal RNA (486 nucleotides) under uncultured bacterium. RNAcentral describes it as "partial 16S ribosomal RNA". It matches the Rfam family "Bacterial small subunit ribosomal RNA", at positions 30 to 507 of the family's 1533-position model. The record is from RNAcentral.